GAAUUCAUCUGACUUUUGUACAAAUACUUUAAGGAGAGUGAACUCAUGCCCUGAAAGUACUUAUUUCUUUCUGGUGACUUUUAAGUUGAACACUGAAGUCUGUGUUGGUCAUCUAAAUCCUGUCUCUACGGCACUAAUCAAAAGACUGGACUUGGGGAAUGCCAGAGGGGAUCUUAAGACUAAAAGACAACUCCCAGUUUCAAAAUUACUGUAGUGGAUGAGAAGAUAACACUUCGCUUCAACAGAAGUUUCAAUAUUGCCUGAAUCUCACAUAGUACUUCCCCUUGUUUCCUAAUCCAGAGGAGGGAGAGGAUCUGAAAACCAUGGAGAUGGGGCUUUCCCUGCAUUUCCAAGUAGUAUGAAACAGAAUUUUACAGUACAAUGAAGGUCCCCUCAAAACAAAAGAAGCCAAAACCUUCCACUGAAGUCAAAGAGGAAGAGCAAGGUGUGGAAAAAGGACAGUUACCAUUAUUCCCGUUUCCAUCCAUACAUAAAAAAUACCUAUCCAAAGACUGCUACAGCUGGUAGGAGAUUUCAUGUUCAGUGGGUUUCAGAGGGGAGGGUUACUAAAAUUAAGGCAGUGUUUGCGAGUGAUGUUGUGCAACAAGCUGCUGAGAGCUGAGCCGAUGGCAAGAGUGAGUUCCUGCUGCAGUUCCCCUUUGACAAAAUCAGUGGAAACAUUUCUUCCCUUCACAAGGUCACUGCUCCACUGGACUGAAACAACAAAGUGGAUUAUUAAUGCUAUGUAAUCCCAAAGAGGCUAAGGAUCUCUUGACCCAUGAAACUCACUGGUUUGUGGAUCUGCAAUUAGGAUGCAACUGAUGAGAGCAGAAAUAGAAGUGUAGGAGAGAGGAAAGGAGGCUGUCAAAAUUACGAAACAAAGUAUGCCUUUUCUGAGCACUACACUUGCCGUUCUUAUUAGUGGAACAAUACAAGUUUCAACUUCUUUUACUGAAAGAAAUCAGUCUUGCUUCCUUCGUGGUGACAUAUUCCUCACUAUUUAGAAACACAGAAAAUAUCUUUUCCUUUUGCAUCCCUGCCCUCUUAGACAAGAGUCUCAGGUAGUCAAUCCCACUCCAGGUGCAGGAACAAAUUCUCACCUAGCAGUACCUGCUCUUGCAGGCCACAGUCUCUCGGAAGACAGUUCAGAUCCAGGCAUAGUAUUAUUGCUACGACAUUACUGGUAUUCUGAUGACCACUUAGGAUUGUAUUGCCAAUUAGUAAAAUUAUCUGAUGCUUUCCAGUACCAGAGCCCAUUUUAAUUCUCUGCAUUUGAACUUACCUAGAAAUUUGCUGUCUGCAAUGAUAUUUUCUAUAUCUAGCAUCUGCUUUUGCCUGAUUUCCCAUUUUAGUUUGUUAUUGUUGUUGCUUUUAAUAUUAACCACUAAGUGCCUCAGUUAUUUCUGAAAAUAAGAAGCAGCUUUAUCUAUGAGGAUGUAUUUUGCUUUCAAAAGUACCUGCUGUCUCUUCAAGAGAUUUUUUUUUUUUCUCCCACCAAGCAGGAAAAACAUUAGUGAUCUCCACAAAUCUUUGUUAUUUUUAUUAUUAAUCAAGCGAAGUGUUGUUUAUAACAGUAUAAGCCACUAGUAGUAUCAUAGUAUGGUUUGGGUUGGAUCAUCUGGUUCCAACCCCGCUAUUAUGGGCACGAACACCUUCCACUAGACCAGGUUUGUCCCUCUAACCUGGCCUUGAACACUUCUACAACUUCUCUGGGCAACGUGUUCCAGUGUCUCACCACCCUCAUGGUGAAUAAUUUCUUCCUCAUAUCAAACCUAAAUCUAUUAAUAGUAAUAUUUUGAAUAUUUUUGGUGUAUGCUUCACUCUUCUGCUUCAUUUUUUUUUUCUAGUCUAAGCAUCUCUCUAUUUAGAAGCAAGAAUCAGCACAUCUCAGCUACUUUCCUUUCUUAUUAACCUCUCUCUCCAGCUAUCCAUGUUUAAAGCUAUUUGCACAUUUUCAGAGACUUGGCUGAUAACAGUUCUCCAGCUGAUGAUAUGUAGGAGUGAAAACCCUGAGCAUGACCAUUUCUCUCCAGUUUACUAAAGCCUUUUCACCCAUGCAUUACUCUCCUAACCCAUCCAAACAUACCACCUAUUAGCAGAGGUUUUAUCAGCAUUAUUUUAACCUAGUCAUGAAUUUGGGCUCAAAUCUGUAGAAUAAUUGGGUUCUGUGACUUCAGAGCAAAUCCCCUGUGUAUGCAAAGGAACAUAACUUGGAUUUAUCAGACACAAACCUUGUUUUCAGUAUAUUUCUUUUCUGUUUCUUGACGUUUUGAAAACACUAGCUAUUUCUUUGCACAAAAAAGAAAUAUUAUUUACAAUCAGUUGCUGUAAGCUAGCUGCUGACUUCCAGGACAAACUUCAACCUAAAUGUUAUGGUCCCCAGGACCAAGGGGAUACAACUGCAGAUCAUCAAGAUAAGAAAUCAAGUACUUCUACAUCUGGUAUAACCUGGGACGUGUGGGCGCUUCCCCUUUGGUCACAGGUCUAUACUGGUGAGAACAUUGUAAGGAAACUAGAUAAUAUUGCACAUGAGACAGGCUAGUACAAUUUUAAUUCAACCGUGAACAGUGCCUUUCAAAAUCCCAAUGCUACAAAUAAUGCUAAAGCCUGCAGUUUGCCAGCUUUGUCUCUCAGCUCAAGUACAGCAUAGAUUGUGUCUAAAAUAUCUGUUAACAGUAAGCAGGAGCCUGAACUAUUCCAGAGGUCAAACUGACUAGGUAUCAGCCCAGCAUCAGGCAUGGCUUGUGGCAUGUCGUUGGGAGAUGAACAUGAAACCUCAUGUUUACACUUCAAUAUUUGCAUGCCUGUAGUGUUGAUGGGCAAUGUCUAGGAAACUAGUUUUGUAAGUCUGCCUAGGAAAUCAGUGGGGAGAAACAGGUCCAACAGAGAACCCAGUUAAAAGCAAGCAGCUAAACUGAUCACCUUCUCAAAAAGCCUUUUUUUUUUUUUUUUUAAUUGACUAAGAAGCAUACCAAGGACCGAUUCACAAUCCCAGUUGCAAAAUUAGGUGCUGGAAGUGACUGGGGAAAAAACCAUGCAUUUGCUCCCAUGGCCCAAACUAUUUAAAUCACAAUUUCCUAAAGCUUCUUUUAUCUGGUUAUUCAUUAUUUAAAUAUUUGCAUUCUAAGAAAUGCAAACUUUUUUCAGCCUUUGUCAGUAGAGCCCAGUCCAGUCUUCACUAGUGGUGAAGGACUUAUUUCAGAAUUAAUAACUUUGCACCUCAGACUCACAAAUUAAAACCAAGCUUGCUAUCAUACCACAUGGAAAGUAUCUGUUUGCAUUGCUGUCUUUAGACUGUGUUUCUUUCUGGCCUAAUACAAUAUUAUAAAUGCAUAUGCAUAUCUGAAAAGCUUAUGAUUUUAAUUUAUAUUCACCCUAGAGAGACAGGUAGGUAAGUCAUUAUCACUCUGAAAGAACCAUUGCAAAACAAAAUACAGGAAAAAAAAAAUCUAGAAUGGUAGUAGUACAAGGUGAUAGCAUGCCUACAUCAAUCUCUGAAAGUCUCCCCAAAAAUCAGGUUCAGAUUAUUUCUUACAUGUUCUGCAUCCCUGUUAACAAGGAGAAAGUAAGUAGAAUAAAAACCUGUGGACCUGGAUGAGUGGGAAUCAACUAUGUUAUAAUUUUGAAUUAUGGCUGGAUUUCACAAAAUGUGUGAGACCCCUGUGUCCCUUGUAUCUUUAAAACUUGCUUGCAGUGUCUAGCACAAAGCAACCUGACUACGAGAUGCAGAUUCAAAUAAUAAAUAACAUUUCUUGCAUACUGAUCGCUACACUACAAGAUGUGGCACCAUAAGAAGCAUUUGUAGCAUAUUUGAUUGUCUGCUAGCUGGACAACAGAGAAUUGAGCUGCUGGUUAAGAAGGAAGCCUUGCUUAAUGCCUGCCAGCACAUUUGACUUAGUGCCAGCAGCGGUUGUUCUCUUUGCAGUUGUUCGUCUCUGCUGAAUAGAACAGGAGCUGCCACACGUUAUAUCCUGGUGUAUUAACAAAACCUCUAAUGUGCAGCCAUUUAUGUUCAUGUGCUGGACCAUAACCUGUGGUGUGUCCAGAGCAGAUAGAUGUCCCAUUCAGCUGUGCUUCUGCAGUGGCAGUAACAUCCAGCAGAGCAGAUAGUUCAGGGUAGAAACUGUUCUAGUUUCCUUACAGUCAUAUAAAUGUUGGCAUCUGCAGUCUUCAAGAAAGAAGUGUCUUUCUUUUCAGCUGAGCUUAGAAGAGAAUCCAGAAAAGCCUGGGUAACAGAAGGUUUCUUUGCAAAGAUUUAAAAUAAACUAAUGCUGUACAUUCAGAAACUUCUGUGAGACAAAUUCUUAUUAAACACAAUUAAUGCUUUUUCUUAAGUUUAUGAGUUUUGUAACUGCAGGUGAAAGACAGUAAUUGUGUAAGUUACAUCAACUAAUGAGAACUGAAGGCAAGCUUACAGGUUCUCAGCCUCAUCUGAGUCACUUUAAAGCUAUUUCACAAUCACAAGUCUUUUGACCACCAUUUGAUAGUCAAUUGUUUCUAGCAUGUCACGCCUCCGUAGAUAAAGUCAACAACAAAGCAGAGAGAGUGCUUUUAAGACAGUGAAUUACAGACACUGGAAAUUUCCUAUUUAGAACUGGCAAGAUGUCAUUAUGUAGAAAGCAAGUAAAGCAUUUUCUUUGCCAAUGUAAAGGUGGCAGAGGACAACAUCUCCUCUAGUGAUAUUUCAAAUUGCUAUUUGAUGAAGUUGUCAGAUUGCACCAAGUAACCAUUCUCUGCAAAGGCAUGUUCUGGGGAUUUCAUUGCCUGCCUGUCACUCAGCAGGACAGCACUUUCCUAUGUGUUUCGGCUUCUGUACAAAUCACUGGCUUAUCUCAAAAUGAACACUCAGCUCGGUUGAUUUAGGAGACAGAAAGCAAGAGUGUAUCACCCAUGGCAUUCCAUCCAUCUUUACCACACAUGAUGGGGAAUGUGCUGAGUUUUUUAUUUGCUGUGAAUCAACACUAUUUCUUGCUAAAUCAAUUGCAUUCUUAUAGCAGGUGCUGUACUUCAGAAAGUAAGAUGGAGGGGUGUAGUAGCAUGAGGGGGAGCAAUUUCCCUCUCAUUUACUGCCAAAUGCACACAGCACAUGCUUUUGCUGGAUGAACUGUUCCUCACUGAACUGCUCUCCUACUAUGCUUAACCAUCUAUAGGGUUUUUAGUGUUUUUAUUUUUACUUUUUUUUUUUUUUCUCUUUUUUAGACCUUGAUUUGAGGAACAGGUACAUAUCUAGGCUCUUUGUCUUUGUUACUCCAGCACUCCUACUGUCUGCUUAGGCAGUGAAAAACAGAUGAAUACUGGUAGCAGCCUUAGGCCUGUCCCAACAAUAACCUACAUUAUGAAAAGUUUAUCUGUCUUUCCAGGAGAUUCAUACCUGCAUGUGACCGACAUACUGACCACUGUUCCUGUGACUUGUGGUGUUAUGAAUGAUUCAUUUUAGGCAGCAGUCCAAGUGAGUCUACAUCUUUAGGACAGUCAGAUAUAGUGAGAUAUGAGAUGAAAAAGUACUUACAGAUUCCCACUUACAAAGAUAAAUCCGUCUGUUUAAAGAAGUCAAGGAGAGGUAUAAGUAAGAAAAAAAUAGUCACAACUUCAUUGGAAAAUCGCUUCUUCUGGAAAGACCCUUUUUUCAGAUCCUUUGCUACUCUUCCCUGGCCUUUGACCUUGUGAUCAGAACUGGUCAAAUUGCCUGUUCUAAUGAGGUAGUGUGGAGCUGCUGGCACAGUGAGUUCAGUUGACAAAAGCUAUGAAAUCUAAAUAUGUUUUUUUUGCCUUCGAGGACAUUUCACACCUCUGUCACAACCUUACUCCCGUCUAAAUCUCCUUGGAGCUUUCAUCACCCUGUCUAAUUUUUUUUGUCAGACAUCAAGAAGGGUCAUUUACAGUAGCCUCCAGACAUAUUUGGUGUUUCUGUAGAGUCUAACUAGAAUAAACUUCGCUCAUACCAUCUCAGUGAAGACCUCAACAUCCUUCCAACAACAGCUUUUACAGACACACCUUCAUCUUCAGGAGGAAGGCAAGGUGACAUUCUGGCUCUCUGGCUCAUUCUGGCCUAAAUAACUUCUUUUAGCCUGCAAAUCCAUGUAUUAUACUUAAUACACUGAAUAAUAACACUUGCCCUUUACAAGCAAUGAAGCAUGCCCGAAGUCAUAGAGUGAAUCAGCACCAGCAAUGGAUUCAGCACUCAGAAGUUCUGCCCUCCACCUCUGCUCCCUUCACAUCCCAUCUGUCUUUGUGAGCAUUCCUGGUAUUGCUUGCAAAGGACACUUUCUCAUCAAGAUAAAGCAAAAUGAUGCUGUCACAGUAGCUGCGACAGCACUCUAAGCUCUGCUGGCUGGAGACACAUAAAGCAGUAUUUAUUAAAUACGAAAAAAGGACACAACUUUGAGGAGCAAAAUACUGUCUGUAAGCAUCUUGAAACUCACAAUGGAGUGGUAAUAAAAGUAUUGUAAAUAUGA
Molecule: long non-coding RNA, 6455 nt
Organism: Columba livia (rock pigeon)
Lineage: Eukaryota; Metazoa; Chordata; Aves; Columbiformes; Columbidae
Exons: 4
Source: RefSeq, a predicted model, not a curated record